Molecule: long non-coding RNA, 5334 nt
Organism: Paramormyrops kingsleyae
Lineage: Eukaryota; Metazoa; Chordata; Actinopteri; Osteoglossiformes; Mormyridae
Source: RefSeq, a predicted model, not a curated record
UCCAGUACUUGUACAGUCCUCGCUGGUCUUCCUGUUCUGCUCAGCACAAUGCUACAGAAGCAGCCUCGGUUCAUCUCCUUCCUCUGUCAGCAACGCACCCACCGCUUCAAACCCCCCCUCCCUCUGAGCGCUACUUGGUACCUGUCCAACUUUGCUACACACUCCUGUGCAGCAGGGGGCUCAAGCAUAGAGAGCUCGAUACAGGGCAAGGACACAGACAGCCGGGGAGGAAGUCUGUGCAAGAACAUGUAGAUUCCACCAGCACACAGAUUCACUGCGCAUUACCACUGGCAUUUUGCAUCACUGCAUGUUAUGUGUUUGUGGAUUUUAAGUCAUCAAGCCUGCAAUCCAGAUUUAACCUGCACCACACAGCUUAACCAUAUGAUAUAUUUCACUGAUAUACCAGCCAGGCGCAGUGGCAUCAUAGAUGAAGUGCUGGACUCUAAAACCAGAAAGGCUAAGGGAUAAACACACAAGCAGAAUAGGGAUGUUGUACGUUGGUACAUUAAUUGAGAGUACAGCAGCAAAGCCCUUUCUGAAACUUUUGACACAAAGUCCAUCUGAAGGAGCUCAGACGUCCAAAGCAGGUAGCUGCAGUCGGACCUGUAACAUUGUGGUGUCAGGUAAUGUGCUCUGCUACACCACUCUGAGGAAGCAAAGUCUUGCAAGUGGACUCUCCCCCCUCGCUUCUGGUUCACGACCCACUGCUGACUCAGGGCCGAGGGGAGCGGGGGGGGUCUGGGAGAGGGGAUCUGGUGAGAUUCAUAGGCUGAACUGCUUUCACUGAGGGGAAAAAAGGCACAUGCACUCACACACGCUGCGCAAAUAACAAUAUGGCGCGCGACAUGCUGCUGUUAGCCUAGGACCUGCCAAGGCGUUGAAACUGCAUCGUUUGCAUUAAAAAUAUGAAUUAUUCCACUGUUUGGACGCUUCCUGCGGAUUUCAUCCCGCUCCCAUCUGUUCAGCUUUUCGCAGCCACGACAACUUGCCAGCGCGCUCUCCCUCGGAGCCCGCUGACGGGGCUUCCGGUUAACCAUCCUGUUUACGCGCGAGUCCCCGCUCGAGCGUAUGUCCCUGUCGGCGCGUACCUCCGCGUGGGCAUGCGCGUGCUGUCCUGCUCGCGCGCGCACCGCAGCGUCCGUGCCCUCCCUGAAGGAAAAUAACCUCGGUGGAUUCUUGCGAGCUCCAGGACAGCCCAGGUCCAGGAAGGUCAUCGUUGUACUUUCGUGUCCUUACCCUGAAUUCCUCCACUUUAUAUAUUUAGCUCUAUAAACGGGUACAAACCAGUAAGUCGCUUAGCAUAAAAGCUUGGAUUAGGAAUCUUUCAAUCACGGAGAAGAAGAAAAAUGGUGAUGCCAGAAGAACCUCGGACAGACUCUCACUUAAGCAGUUUUAAGAUUUAAAAGCCGCAAGAUGCUCGGACUUUGCAGCAAAGGCGUUUCAUAACCGGCGUGCUGUGACAAGCAGGGCGGGCACAAGCUGAACUGGAGCCAGCAGCUGUGAGGGAACGUGCAGGCUCCUCUCUGAAGCGACAAACGGCCGAGUAAGCAUGACAGGCCAGACAUCAGGAAGGAGUGUCAUCACCCACCCCUCCAAGCCUGCCUGCCUGAACCCCCCUGCGGUCUGCUACAGAAACCGUGAUGGAUGUGGCCGAAUGGAACGCUGCAGACGGAGAGCAGAGGAGGUGCUGCUCCCCGCUGAUCAGCAAAUAGAGCGAAAUGCUUCACCAGAGAAUGGAUGCAGUGUGUCUGUCAGUACAGCGAGAGCCAGGCGUGGGACAGAGGGCCCUGGAGGCAACUCUUUGGAUGAGACCCAGCCGUGUCACCUGACGGGCCACAUCAUAUCACCUGAUGGCCAUUAUCAUGAUACCCUAUGGCCCUCCUCAUGUCACCUGACAGCUCUCCUCGUCACAUGACAGCUCUUCUUAUGUCACCUGACAGUCUUCCCAUUAUCACCACAUGACCCUUCUACCACUGAAACUAGAAGGCUCAUCUCAGAAAAGUACAACAAAUGUUGAGUGAAGCAGGGCUACAGCAGGGCUGAUCAUCAGGUCACCACAGCAGUGAAUAAUAGCAGCAUUCUGACCAAGUUCCACCCUGGCCCAGAGUGCUGCCACCUAUAGUUGAGGUAGCAUCACAACAACAUUAGACUUAGUGGACAGCAACUUAUUCCUGUUGGCCUUUUGAUGGGAAAUCACAUUUGUCAUCUAGAUGAAUCAUUUUACUGCAGUCAGCGUGGGGUUUCUAAGGUUUACCCACAAGCAUCAGGAGAGCAGGCAAGCUCUUGUUGAAGGUAACACACAACUAACAAAACACAAUUAACUGAACACAAUGUCGGAGACCUGCAAGAGCUCUCAGACAUCACAAACAGACACCCCCAGGAAGUAACAAACAGAAAACGUGGGAGGACCAGGAGCCCGAGUCGUAUGCGCAGUCUUGGUCAAACCUGCACACCCAGACCAUUUCUGCCUGCCUCUUCCUGCUUUUCCUUUAAUGUGCUUUUGAGGUUUGCUCAAGUCUGGGAUUCUUGUUACGUGUCUGCAUCUUCACUUUGGCCAUUUGGAAGCGGGCAGAUGGUGAAGAAGACAGCGCACACACAGACACACACACUCAUAUAUAUACACACACACACAGGCACACCAGAGACCAUCGCCCCUUCAAGGUUCAUCAAUGACAGUCUCUGAGGGUGGUCACCGUCUGUCUGUCCCAGGGGAAGUCAGCUGACUUUUUUUUGUCCUCCAGUACAUACAAACACGAGUGCGUUUACCCCUCCCCACACCCGGAAGGGUAGUGCGCCAGUCCCGUUUGCCUGGGCUGCGAAAGUCCAGUUCAUCUCGUCUCCGCCAAAACAGCACCUCUUUUUCGUUUCUCUUUCUCCUGGAGACUGCUUUGUCUUUCCUUUUUUCACUGCAUAGUCCCCCCUCCCGGCUCCGAAAACAUCAGUAAUAAAAUCCGGAUCCUCUUUUUUUGACUUCCUGGUUCAUCUGGUUCUGUCUCUGGAUCAGCAUUCCCACAUACCCCCUUCUCUUAUCCCCUCAAUCCUACUGACCAAACUCCACCCCCCUUCCUUAAUGCUCAGCGUAACCUUCAAACGCUAAACAACAGUGACAGCACGUCCAAGGAGUGCUGGGUAACAUACGAGAACUCGAUAAAUCACAUUCCCAAUAGUCGAAAGACACCUUACAGUCCUGUCAGCUCUGCCCCAAAGAGCACAAGGCCUUUGUCACCAUGGUGAUGGGAACGGGGGUGUCCAGAUUGCUGGCCUGGGGAGGGGUGGGUGUCAGACUGCCCCCACCCAAGCUUCAGAGUGGCAGAGGCCAUUACAGUACCGCUCAUUGCUGAGGCAAGCAGGGCCUGUUUUCACAGUCCGCCAGCCCGUUCCACUUCCUGUCAGUUUGGCCUCUUCGUAGUUUGUCCCCGUUUCCGAACACUUUUGUGCUCUUAAUGUAGUUGAGUCCACAACUUGUUUUAUGGAAAUGUUCCUCCCGCAGAGCAAAACAGGAAUGGAUAUUUAUAUUUACACACACACACACACACACACACACAUACAUAUAUAUCAAUCCUUAUGUGUUAAUGUAUGUCAAAUCAUAUUUUUCUACAUGAAUAAUUAAUAUUUCCCCCUGUCAUACAUACAGUACAUGCACUAAACCACUCCCCUGCCCCCACCAUCUCAUUGUACCCAAGAUGAUCGUCAUCCAACAUUAACCUCAAAGGACAAAAACUUAGGGUUGGAAGCAAUGAAACACACUCUCAUUUAAAAUAAUUCUCCUGAAUACGCCAAGAAACAUAAAGCUUCAGUUAUAGAGAGAAACUUCCAGACAAUUCUAGAAAAUACAUACAUAAUUAAACUGGAAAAACAACAGAAGGUCUAAAGAACCAGCCAGCUGUUCACAGGAUCCUGUGUACCUCCACUAUCCACUUCUGCUGCCUGUUCCCUACAGCUCGCUGAAUUACCCAACAACCAGACCAUAAACACUUUGAGACCUGGACACUGACAGUAACUAUAUUCUGUAAGAAUUCAGAGCAGGGUCAGCAAAGUGGAGGCAAAUCAUUAAAACAAAGGCUGGGUGUCACGCAAGCUGUUAAACAGGACGGCAGGCUGGCUGGACCUCAGGGCUGGUAUCAGGACCACACUGACACGCCCAUCAGACUGGAACCAGGGACAGCUGCAGCCGGUUAACACGCACAACCCCAGGUACACACACAACCUUACAGCCUGACUCACAGUCCAUACACCAGCAUGUCAUUCUAGGAUUUUUGGUAUUUUCACAAAGAAACACCAUCAAGCACUGAGUGGUAAAAACAGACACUAACAAUUUUAUGCAAGUAUUUCCCACCCAGUUUUGGGUAGUUUCAGUGUCCUUAGUUAAUUCUGAUUCUCCAGUGACCUUGUACUUUUGAGUGCAGUUGUUUUGGUCUGUUUUUUCUCUGAUUUAUAUCACACUAAUUUGUGCAAUUUAACCACAGUCAGACAUAUUUUUAAUAUUUUCACAAAUACUCACGCACAAUGUUACACUGUACAAAUGUACAAGCACAGCAUUGCAAAAAAACUUUAAUGAAAUCGCACCAGCAGCCAGCGUUGCCACCUGUCCUGUGUUGUACAGGAUCGCUCCUUGCAGAAAAAUAAAAUGCUGUGUCCUUUUUCAAAGUAAUACGAGGCAUGUUUUUCCGUAUUUUGAAAAUGCCACCACACCCAGCUCGACACAUAUUACCUUUGAUUGAAAGCGGGGCCUUCCCUACGAGUCUCCAUCAGAAUUUUAAUGACAACCUUACACUGAUAAAAUGGCUCGAAGUUUAAUUGAUGGCUGACACCUUUAAUUAACAAUCAGGGGAGACCAGGGACAAUUUGUCAACAAUUUGUUGGUUGAGCAGUAGUUGGACAGACAUACUUCAGCAACCCAACCGUACAUCCCGCCACCUCUGCUAGCUAAAGGCUGCUAGAAACAACUCUGCCACUUAUGAAACACAUCAUACUAAAAGUACGUAGAUUAAUGACCAAAAACAUACCAGAUUCAAUUCAACAAUUGUCCUGGGUCACCCCUAAUGUUCUUCCCCCCCCCCGCCGGGAUUUUAAACAGCAGUGAUGGGAGACGGGCAGACACAAAAGGUGGGCGCUUAACUGUGGCAAAUGAAAUCGAGAGUCUAGGAAACAACGGAGGAAACAUGAAAUCCCCUCAGAGUGACUGUUUAGGUGGGUGCAUCCUCACCGAUAAUUAGGCCACGUGACGCCUCAGACGGAAAAAAAUGAAAACGGUAGCUCUCCACGAAAUUCCCUCUUGAUAAUGCUUAAUGUGCUUUACGCCAAACUGGCAGAGAUAAAAGGACAUGAAAAAAG